Molecule: long non-coding RNA, 235 nt
Filed under: Setaria viridis
Lineage: Eukaryota; Viridiplantae; Streptophyta; Magnoliopsida; Poales; Poaceae
Description: long non-coding RNA (SVIR_LNC003559)
Source: RNAcentral
UUUCAUAUUCAUUAGAUGCAGUAUGAUUGAUUUAUUGAUUUAACUUGUUUAUUUCUUGAUAAAUGGUUUUAAAUAAGUUAUAAUUUUUAUGUAGGUGUAAAAAUAGAAAAUAUGGUUCCACUACCUUUAUAUGUUGAUGUUGUGUCCUUUGGAAUCUUAAUAUGGCCAUAUGUUUAUAGAAAAUAUUCAAUUCUAGAUUUAUCUUGCUCUAACAUGCUCUAUUGCCAUAUAAAAU